GCUUCCCGGGACGCAAGUCCCCUGAAGACCCGUUGGAGACUACAACGUUGAUAGGCCGGGUGUGUAAGCGCAGUAAUGCGUUCAGCUAACCGGUACUAAUCGGUCGUGAGGCUUACUUUC
This 120-nucleotide ribosomal RNA is filed under the name Archangium sp. RNAcentral's name for it is "partial 23S ribosomal RNA". It matches the Rfam family "Bacterial large subunit ribosomal RNA", at positions 2810 to 2925 of the family's 2925-position model. The record is from RNAcentral. Lineage: Bacteria; Pseudomonadati; Myxococcota; Myxococcia; Myxococcales; Archangiaceae.